Molecule: long non-coding RNA, 243 nt
Filed under: Phoenix dactylifera (date palm)
Lineage: Eukaryota; Viridiplantae; Streptophyta; Magnoliopsida; Arecales; Arecaceae
Description: long non-coding RNA (PDAC_LNC011909)
Source: RNAcentral
UCAUAAUGAGGUUGCUGUAGUUUGACGAGCACAUAAACAUGGGCCCUAUCCAUUUGGGUCCUUGUGGUGCAGAUUGACUGCAGUAGGUUCAUUGUAGGAGUAGGGGUGCAUCUAGAUAGAAUCUAUCGACCUUGAUAGAUUAGGAGAGAUCCUAUGUGAUUUAUGAGACUGAGUUCGUAAAUCCUUGGCCAAGGUAGUUUUUGGAAAAAGAGUUUUCCAAUCUCGAACUGGAGUCGAAUAAAU